RNAcentral lists this non-coding RNA (430 nucleotides) under Nicotiana sylvestris (wood tobacco). RNAcentral describes it as "Eukaryotic small subunit ribosomal RNA". It matches the Rfam family "Eukaryotic small subunit ribosomal RNA", at positions 122 to 468 of the family's 1831-position model. The record is from Rfam by way of RNAcentral. RNAcentral also lists the same sequence under 1 other name. Lineage: Eukaryota; Viridiplantae; Streptophyta; Magnoliopsida; Solanales; Solanaceae.
AAAUCCAUCCAACAUUUUGGGUUACAUUAACUCCAACUGGAUCUGAUAUCCCAUCUUUCUCUUAACUAUAUUCGUUGGCUCCCAUGGAGCAUAACUAAGACGGGUGUGGUCAAUUGUACAUACCUCUGUUACAAUUGAAGGUAACUCAAAAUAUUUAUAUUUCUCUGCUUGAAUCGUAAAUAUUGUUAAUCUUCAUUAACUGGGGUACCUCGUACCCUUCUUACCUUGCUACUUUUACUUGUUGAAACUUGUAUCUAUCUUUUGAAUCUCUUAUUCCUUUUUACCAUAAGAAUGGAUAGAUAUUCUUGCCUACCAUGGUGGUGAUGGGUGACGGAGAAUUAGGGUUCGAUUCCGGAGAGGGAGCCUGAGAAACGGCUACCACAUCCAAGGAAGGCAUCAGGCGUACCCAAUCCUGACACGGAGAGGUAGU